GCCGAGGUGGCGGAAUUGGUAGACGCACUAGUUUCAGGGACUAGCGCCGCGAGGCGUAGGGGUUCAAGUCCCCUCCUCGGCACCA
Molecule: transfer RNA, 85 nt
Filed under: Deinococcus irradiatisoli
Lineage: Bacteria; Thermotogati; Deinococcota; Deinococci; Deinococcales; Deinococcaceae
Description: tRNA-Leu
Rfam family: tRNA
About the family: Transfer RNA (tRNA) molecules are approximately 80 nucleotides in length. Their secondary structure includes four short double-helical elements and three loops (D, anti-codon, and T loops).
Source: RNAcentral